RNAcentral lists this long non-coding RNA (1202 nucleotides) under Cricetulus griseus (Chinese hamster). Its description in RNAcentral is "lncRNA (ENSCGRG00000026478.1)". Lineage: Eukaryota; Metazoa; Chordata; Mammalia; Rodentia; Cricetidae. The record is from RNAcentral.
CUGAAAAAGACUCUGAGUUUCCUCAGGCUUCAUGUUUCUCUAAGGAAUGUCUUUCAUUUUCCAUAACUCUUGAAUGACAUUAAAGAAAACACUUCAACAGUUUUCAUACUUGUAGAUUAGCAUAUUCACACUUGUAUUGAGCUCAGUAUUUCUGUGAUGUAUUUGGUUAUUGUCUUUGUUUCUAUUGCUGUGAUAAAAAACAAAAAGCAAAACAAAUAAGAAAAGCAACAUAUGGAGGGAAGGGUGUAUUUCAGCUUAUAACUUAGGUCACACUCCAUCACUGAUGGAAGUCAGAUGAAGCAGAGGCCAUGGAGGGGUGCUGCUUACUGGCUUGCUCCUCCUGGCUUACCUCAAGAUACACUCCAGGAUCACAGGGCCAUGAAUGGCACCACUCGUAGUGGGCUGGGCCCUUCCAUACCGAUCACUAAUCAAGACAACUCCCCCACAGUCUUGCUUACAGGCCAAUCUAAUGAAAUCAUUUCCUCAAUUAAGAUUCCCUUCUCUCAGAUGACUCUAGUUGUGUCAAGUUGAGAAAAAAAGCAAAUCAGGACAGAUAGUCUUGCUAAUAACAAUAAAAUAAAAUUAACAUACUGUUUGUUGCAUUAUAAAUCUAAGAAACACACAAAUUUAUAUUCAUAUCAUGUUCCCUAUAAACUAAAUGAUUUAAUACAUGAUUUCAUUUAAAUGUCACAGCAACACUGUAUGUUUUCCUUUUAUAGAUGAGAAGAUAGGUUGGAAGUGGUGAAAUGACUUCUUGAUGUCACAUAGUUAAGGGUUGCCUGAGUCAGGAUUCAAACUCAUGUCUUUUGAAACAAAAUCGACUUUCUCCCAGCCAUCUCUUACUGCUAAAUAGAAGGUCAGAGCAUGGUUUCCUUGUUGGAAUUUCUGCAGUUUGGAUCUUAUUCAAGGGGUGUGGUACUCUCCCAACCCUGACAAGCAAGAUGAGCAGGUCUGGAUUAUUUAUUCUUGUUCAUCAUCAGCUGUCUAGACUUCAGGCCAGUGUGAUGCGUGACAACAGAAACACUCUAUCCCGUGCAGAGGAGGCCUGUUUAAACCAACUCCUGAAGGAUGAUGAGAGUCUCCUCAGGCAUCCUACACCGAGACUGUCACUUUAUGUAGAGGAAUCAGCACAUUCCAGCAAUGAAGAAACAAUGCUGAUGAGGAUGGGCAACUUCUGUGAAGGAAGUGUCCCCAGAGUCUAG